UACGAAGGGGGCUAGCGUUGUUCGGAAUCACUGGGCGUAAAGCGCACGUAGGCGGAUUGUUAAGUCGGGGGUGAAAUCCUGAGGCUCAACCUCAGAACUGCCUUCGAUACUGGAGAUCUUGAGUCCGGGAGAGGUGAGUGGAACUGCGAGUGUAGAGGUGAAAUUCGUAGAUAUUCGCAAGAACACCAGUGGCGAAGGCAGCUCACUGGCCCGGUACUGACGCUGAGAUACGAAAGCGUGGGGAGCAAACAGG
This 253-nucleotide ribosomal RNA is filed under the name uncultured bacterium. RNAcentral describes it as "partial 16S ribosomal RNA". It matches the Rfam family "Bacterial small subunit ribosomal RNA", at positions 524 to 776 of the family's 1533-position model. The record is from RNAcentral.